AUGGACGCCUCCGCUGGAGCCGGAUCCGGCAAUGCCCCUGGCGCAGGCGCCGGCGCGUCAUCUUGCUGCUACUACGCCCUGCUCGGCAUCCGUAAGAACGCCUCCUCCACCGACAUACGUGCCGCCUACCGACGGCUCGCCAUGAAGUGGCACCCGGAUCGGUGGGCGAGCGACCCCGGCGCGACGGGCGAGGCGAAGCGGCGGUUCCAGCGGAUCCAGGAGGCCUACUCCGUUUUGUCCGACAAGGGGAAGAGGGCCAUGUACGACGCCGGGCUCUUUGAUCCCCUCGACGACGACGACCAGGAUUUCUCGGACUUCAUGCAGGAGAUGCUGGUGAUGAUGGAUAGCGUGAAAAACGAGAAGCCGGACACGCUCGAAGACCUGCAGAAGAUGCUGGAUGACAUAGUCAACGGCGACGGCGGUAGCCGCGCCACUGCUGGUGCUGGUGGUAGCGGCGGCGGUGGUGGUGGCUGCGGUGGUCGCGUUCCACCGGAGGCCAACCGCAGAACUCGUGUCGCCCCUUACCCGCAGCCUUCGCGAAGGUGA
RNAcentral lists this ribosomal RNA (546 nucleotides) under Triticum aestivum (bread wheat). Its description in RNAcentral is "partial small subunit ribosomal RNA". Lineage: Eukaryota; Viridiplantae; Streptophyta; Magnoliopsida; Poales; Poaceae. The record is from RNAcentral.